GCCAAGGUAGCUCAGUUGGUUAGAGCGCCAGACUCAUAAUCUGGAGGUCGAGGGUUCAAGUCCCUCCCUUGGCA
Molecule: transfer RNA, 74 nt
Filed under: Microcaldota archaeon
Lineage: Archaea; Nanobdellati; Microcaldota
Also listed under: 1 other name
Description: tRNA-Met
Rfam family: tRNA
About the family: Transfer RNA (tRNA) molecules are approximately 80 nucleotides in length. Their secondary structure includes four short double-helical elements and three loops (D, anti-codon, and T loops). Further hydrogen bonds mediate the characteristic L-shaped molecular structure. tRNAs have two regions of fundamental functional importance: the anti-codon, which is responsible for specific mRNA codon recognition, and the 3' end, to which the tRNAs corresponding amino acid is attached (by aminoacyl-tRNA synthetases). tRNAs cope with the degeneracy of the genetic code in two manners: having more than one tRNA (with a specific anti-codon) for a particular amino acid; and 'wobble' base-pairing, i.e. permitting non-standard base-pairing at the 3rd anti-codon position.
Source: RNAcentral